Molecule: ribosomal RNA, 621 nt
Filed under: uncultured fungus
Lineage: Eukaryota; Fungi
Description: eukaryotic LSU rRNA
Rfam family: 5.8S ribosomal RNA (bases 208-362)
Source: RNAcentral
CAUUACCGAAUUGUCGACACGAGUUGUUGCUGGUCCUCAAAUGGGGGCAUGUGCACGCUCUGUUUACACAUCCACUCACACCUGUGCACCCACUGUAGUUCUAUGGCCUGGGGGGCUCCGUCCCUUUUGCCGUGGUUCUAUGUCUUUUACAUACACGCUGUAAUAAAGUUUCACGGAAUGCAUCGUGCGUUUAACGCAAUAUAAUACAACUUUCAGCAACGGAUCUCUUGGCUCUCGCAUCGAUGAAGAACGCAGCGAAAUGCGAUAAGUAAUGUGAAUUGCAGAAUUCAGUGAAUCAUCGAAUCUUUGAACGCACCUUGCGCCUUCUGGCUAUUCCAGAGGGCAUGCCUGUUUGAGUAUCAUGAACACCUCAACUCUCAUGGUUUUGCCGUGAUGAGCUUGGACUUUGGAGGUCUUGCUGGCCUGUGGUCAGCUCCUCUCAAACGAAUCAGCUUGCCAGUGUUUGGUGGCGUCACAGGUGUGAUAACUAUCUACGCUUGUGGCUUCCGCUGGGUAACCUUCAGUGAUGGAGGUUCGCUGGAGCUCAUAAACGUCUCUCCUCAGUGAGGACAGCUUCUUGAAUGUUUGAUCUCAAAUCAGGUAGGGCUACCCGCUGAACUU